UACGUAGGUGGCGAGCGUUGUCCGGAAUUAUUGGGCGUAAAGCGCGCGCAGGCGGGAAAGUAAGUCUACUUUAAAAGUGCGGGGCUCAACCCCGUGAUGGGGUAGAAACUGCUUUUCUUGAGUGCCGGAGAGGAAAGUGGAAUUCCCAGUGUAGCGGUGAAAUGCGUAGAUAUUGGGAGGAACACCAGUGGCGAAGGCGACUUUCUGGACGGUGUCUGACGCUGAGGCGCGAAAGCCAGGGGAGCGAACGGGAUUAGAUACCCCGGUAGUCCUGGCGGUAAACGAUGGGUACUAGGUGUAGGGGGUAUCGACCCCCCCUGUGCCGGAGUUAACGCAAUAAGUACCCCGCCUGGGGAGUACGGCCGCAAGGUUGAA
This 375-nucleotide ribosomal RNA is filed under the name uncultured bacterium. RNAcentral's name for it is "bacterial SSU rRNA". It matches the Rfam family "Bacterial small subunit ribosomal RNA", at positions 524 to 898 of the family's 1533-position model. The record is from RNAcentral.